This 467-nucleotide ribosomal RNA is filed under the name uncultured bacterium. Its description in RNAcentral is "bacterial SSU rRNA". It matches the Rfam family "Bacterial small subunit ribosomal RNA", at positions 355 to 825 of the family's 1533-position model. The record is from RNAcentral.
UGGGGAAUAUUGGGCAAUGGAGGGAACUCUGACCCAGCCAUGCCGCGUGCAGGAUGAAGGCGUUAUGCGUUGUAAACUGCUUUUUAUAUAGGAAGAAAUAGUCCUUGCGAGGAAAGUUGACGGUACUAUAUGAAUAAGCACCGGCUAACUCCGUGCCAGCAGCCGCGGUAAUACGGAGGGUGCAAGCGUUGUCCGGAUUUAUUGGGUUUAAAGGGUGCGUAGGCGGUUUAUUAAGUCAGUGGUGAAAGACGGUCGCUCAACGAUUGCAGUGCCAUUGAUACUGGUAGACUUGAGUAUGAUUGAGGUAGCUGGAAUGGAUAGUGUAGCGGUGAAAUGCAUAGAUAUUAUCCAGAACACCAAUUGCGUAGGCAAGUUACUAAGUCAUAACUGACGCUGAGGCACGAAAGUGUGGGUAUCAAACAGGAUUAGAUACCCAAGUAGUCCCUGAGCGGGCUGGCAAGGCGCAU